UAUUUCCACCUAGUAAUGGCUCAUGCCAGUAGAGAUAGUGUCAUAAAAAUGUUAUAUAGUUCAUAGCUAAGCAGUAGUGAAAACCUCCCAAGAGACAUAAGAAUUUCACUGAGUUAACGUAGUUAAAGCUACUUAGAAAAGAAUGUGCAGAGUUGAAAUGGAUGCAGUCAUCACUGAGUGUUGAGGUGGUAAAUGACAGACACUGGAAGGUGUUUAAUGAAUCCUGCCAAAUUCACUUCAAACCUCCAAAUAAU
Molecule: long non-coding RNA, 254 nt
Filed under: Homo sapiens (human)
Lineage: Eukaryota; Metazoa; Chordata; Mammalia; Primates; Hominidae
Description: non-protein coding lnc-GLUD2-14:1
Source: RNAcentral